GACGUAGGUGGCGAACGUUAUCCGGAAUUAUUGGGCGUAAAGGGUGCGUAGGUGGGCAAGUAAGUCAGUGGUGAAAUCUCCGGGCUUAACCCGGAAACUGCCAUUGAUACUAUUUGUCUUGAAUACUGUGGAGGUCAGCGGAAUAUGUCAUGUAGCGGUGAAAUGCUUAGAUAUGACAUAGAACACCAAUUGCGAAGGCAGCUGGCUACACAAAUAUUGACACUGAGGCACGAAAGCGUGGGGAUCAAACAGG
Molecule: ribosomal RNA, 253 nt
Filed under: uncultured bacterium
Lineage: Bacteria
Description: partial 16S ribosomal RNA
Rfam family: Bacterial small subunit ribosomal RNA
Source: RNAcentral